GAGCUCUGCCCGGGUAGGAGGGCGUGCGGCCGCAGGGCUGGCAGCGCCCGUGGCGCGCAGCUGUGCCGCCUGGGGCUGCCAGAGGCUCUGUCUUCCCAGGGCUGGCCGGAGUGCUCGUGAAGGGGCAGAAGGAGGAGCUCCAGGUCCUCAGCGAGGCUCUCCAAGCCCUCAGGGAAAAUGAGAGCCCAUCCUGCAUCAGCGUCCUGAUUCAGCUGGCUUUCAAGAGAAGAUGUGCAGGACUUCGUUCCUCUGCUGGAUCAGAUGUACCAUCGGCGUCCAUUGGCGAUUUCCAGCUCCCACUGAAGGUGGGAGAACCUGCAGAGCAGGAUGGAUCAGCUGGAGCUCCAGGCACAGCUCUUGCUGCUCAGAGCUGAGCUUGUGGGAAGCUCCAGGAGCUCCUGCCAUCUGUCUCCCUGUUGACAGCUCCCUCCCUCCAGCUCUCAGGCCCUGCCCACUCCCUUUUUUUGUCUCCCUGCUCACCCCUUUGCUUCGCUUUCUCUUAAUAAACAGUUUGGGUUUUUCACUUGA
Molecule: long non-coding RNA, 528 nt
Organism: Serinus canaria (Common canary)
Lineage: Eukaryota; Metazoa; Chordata; Aves; Passeriformes; Fringillidae
Exons: 2
Source: RefSeq, a predicted model, not a curated record